GCAGGCUGCAACUCGCCUGCAUGAAGUCGGAAUUGCUAGUAAUCGCAGAUCAGCAUGCUGCGGUGAAUACGUUCCCGGGCCUUGUACACACCGCCCGUCACACCAUGGGAGUCGGUAACACCCGAAGUCGGUAGCCUAACCGUAAGGAGGGCGCCGCCGAAGGUGGGAUUGAUGACUGGGGUGAAGUCGUAACAAGGUAUC
RNAcentral lists this ribosomal RNA (201 nucleotides) under uncultured bacterium. RNAcentral describes it as "partial 16S ribosomal RNA". It matches the Rfam family "Bacterial small subunit ribosomal RNA", at positions 1300 to 1500 of the family's 1533-position model. The record is from RNAcentral.